GCACAGGUACUGAGCGUCCACUGCAGAUAUAUAGAAGGUUUCCUUUCUAAGUGACCCUUCAGUACCUUGGUUUCCGAAUUUUUGUACAAGAUAUCUCACCACAAGAGACCCCUGAUGAAGUCUUUUGUAUAAUACGAAACGCGUUGGGUUGUCUGUGUUGUGAAGCUAUCUCCGAACCAACGAUAAGGAGAAGGAGGAGAUUAUUGUGAUCCUUCAACAUUUGUAUUCAGCGCUAAGAGUCAUAGAUCUUAAAGUGUGGAAUAAUAUAUCUCCUCUGUAUUAAUUUGAAUAUGUUUUUAAUAAAUGUUUUAUGAUGGAA
Long non-coding RNA from Pseudophryne corroboree (corroboree frog), 319 nucleotides. RefSeq lists it as uncharacterized. Lineage: Eukaryota; Metazoa; Chordata; Amphibia; Anura; Myobatrachidae. The record is from RefSeq and is a predicted model, not a curated record. The transcript has 3 exons.